UGGGCUUGAAAAGCAGUGGACCGGUUGUGAAAGCAGCCUUCUCUUCGGAGCCGCUGUACAGGUGCUGCAUGGCUGUCGUCAGCUCGUGCCGUGAGGUGUUGGGUUAAGUCUCGCAACGAGCGCAACCCCUACCAUUAGUUGCCAUCAGGUUAUGCUGGGCACUCUAAUGGGACUGCCUACGCAAGUAGUGAGGAAGGUGGGGAUGACGUCAAGUCAGCAUGGCCCUUACGCCCAGGGCUACACACGUGCUACAAUGGGUGCUACAAUGGGUUGCCAAGCCGCAAGGUGGAGCUAAUCCCUUAAAGGCAUCCUCAGUUCGGAUUGGAGUCUGCAACUCGACUCCAUGAAGC
Molecule: ribosomal RNA, 350 nt
Filed under: uncultured bacterium
Lineage: Bacteria
Description: bacterial SSU rRNA
Rfam family: Bacterial small subunit ribosomal RNA
Source: RNAcentral